RNAcentral lists this ribosomal RNA (460 nucleotides) under uncultured bacterium. Its description in RNAcentral is "bacterial SSU rRNA". It matches the Rfam family "Bacterial small subunit ribosomal RNA", at positions 29 to 524 of the family's 1533-position model. The record is from RNAcentral.
AACGAACGCUGGCGGCAUGCCUAACACAUGCAAGUCGAACGGGAUCCAGGCUUCGGCCUGGUGAGAGUGGCGGACGGGUGAGUAACACGUGGGAACCUGCCUUUUGGUUCGGGAUAACCGCGGGAAACUGCGGCUAAUACCGGAUGCUCCCGAGAGGGGAAAGAUUUAUCGCCAGAAGAGGGGCCCGCGUCCGAUUAGCUAGUUGGUGAGGUAAUGGCUCACCAAGGCGACGAUCCUUAGCUGGUCUGAGAGGACGACCAGCCACACUGGGACUGAGACACGGCCCAGACUCCUACGGGAGGCAGCAGUGGGGAAUAUUGGACAAUGGGCGCAAGCCUGAUCCAGCCAUGCCGCGUGAGUGAUGAAGGCCUUAGGGUUGUAAAGCUCUUUUGCCGGGGACGAUAAUGACGGUACCCGGAGAAUAAGUCCCGGCUAACUUCGUGCCAGCAGCCGCGGUAAU